CCUACGGGAGGCAGCAGUAAGGAAUAUUGGACAAUGGGGGCAACCCUGAUCCAGCCAUGCCGCGUGAAGGAUGAAGGGCUCUGCGUCGUAAACUUCUUUUACUCGAGAAAUUGUACCGAGAGAAUAAGGACCGGCUAACUUCGUGCCAGCAGCCGCGGUAAUACGAAGGGUCCAAGCGUUAUCCGGAUUUAUUGGGUUUAAAGGGUGCGUAGGCGGUUUUUUAAGUCAGUGGUGAAAGCUCCAUGCUCAACAUGGAAAUUGCCAUUGAUACUGAUGAACUUGAGUACACUUGAAGUGGGCGGAAUAUGUCAUGUAGAGGUGAAAUUCUUAGAGAUGACAUAGAACACCGAUUGCGAAGGCAGCUCACUAAAUUGUACUGACGCUGAGGCACGAAAGCGUGGGGAUCAAACAGGAUUAGAUACCCUUGUAGUC
RNAcentral lists this ribosomal RNA (432 nucleotides) under uncultured bacterium. Its description in RNAcentral is "partial 16S ribosomal RNA". It matches the Rfam family "Bacterial small subunit ribosomal RNA", at positions 338 to 795 of the family's 1533-position model. The record is from RNAcentral.